AGGUAGGGUCCCCUGAAGAACUCGAGGAUCGAGAAGUUAAAGGUGCAUGUGGCCUCUUCCUUUUCUUCAUGCUAUGUGUCGAGAAUGAGAAGGAGACCACCGCGAGUGACAGGCGGCAUGAUGAGAGUGUUGGAAAGACAGCGACUCGACAUAAUGAGAAUGUCGAGAUGAUUGUCAUUCCGAAGAUGGAGAAAGAGAUCGUCGUGGAGCACAACG
RNAcentral lists this long non-coding RNA (216 nucleotides) under Elaeis guineensis (African oil palm). RNAcentral describes it as "long non-coding RNA (EGUI_LNC006272)". Lineage: Eukaryota; Viridiplantae; Streptophyta; Magnoliopsida; Arecales; Arecaceae. The record is from RNAcentral.